AGCGGAGGAAAAGAAACCAACAGGGAUUGCCUUAGUAACGGCGAGUGAAGCGGCAAAAGCUCAAAUUUGAAAUCUGGCACCUUCGGUGUCCGAGUUGUAAUUUGAAGAAGGUAACUUUGGAGUUGGCUCUUGUCUAUGUUCCUUGGAACAGGACGUCACAGAGGGUGAGAAUCCCGUGCGAUGAGAUGCCCAAUUCUAUGUAAAGUGCUUUCGAAGAGUCGAGUUGUUUGGGAAUGCAGCUCUAAGUGGGUGGUAAAUUCCAUCUAAAGCUAAAUAUUGGCGAGAGACCGAUAGCGAACAAGUACAGUGAUGGAAAGAUGAAAAGAACUUUGAAAAGAGAGUGAAAAAGUACGUGAAAUUGUUGAAAGGGAAGGGCUUGAGAUCAGACUUGGUAUUUUGCGAUCCUUUCCUUCUUGGUUGGGUUCCUCGCAGCUUACUGGGCCAGCAUCGGUUUGGAUGGUAGGAUAAUGACUAAGGAAUGUGGCUCUACUUCGGUGGAGUGUUAUAGCCUUGGUUGAUACUGCCUGUCUAGACCGAGGACUGCGUCUUUUGACUAGGAUGUUGGCAUAAUGAUCUUAAGCCACCCGUCUUGAAACACG
Molecule: ribosomal RNA, 599 nt
Filed under: Debaryomyces hansenii
Lineage: Eukaryota; Fungi; Ascomycota; Pichiomycetes; Serinales; Debaryomycetaceae
Description: eukaryotic LSU rRNA
Rfam family: Eukaryotic large subunit ribosomal RNA
Source: RNAcentral